RNAcentral lists this ribosomal RNA (253 nucleotides) under uncultured bacterium. RNAcentral's name for it is "partial 16S ribosomal RNA". It matches the Rfam family "Bacterial small subunit ribosomal RNA", at positions 524 to 776 of the family's 1533-position model. The record is from RNAcentral.
UACGUAGGUGGCGAGCGUUGUCCGGAAUUACUGGGCGUAAAGAGCGCGUAGGCGGCCUGGUAAGUUAGGAGUGAAACCCGUCGGCUCAACCGCGGGGUUGCAUUUGAAACCGUAGUUCUUGAGGGCAGGAGAGGUCAGUAGAAUUCCUGGUGUAGCGGUGAAAUGCGUAGAAAUCAGGAGGAAUACCAGUGGCGAAGGCGACUGACUGGACUGACCCUGACGCUGAGGUGCGAAAGCGUGGGUAGCAAACAGG